Molecule: ribosomal RNA, 527 nt
Filed under: Penaeus japonicus
Lineage: Eukaryota; Metazoa; Arthropoda; Malacostraca; Decapoda; Penaeidae
Description: partial 16S ribosomal RNA
Source: RNAcentral
CGUUGAGAAGUUCGUUGUGCAAAUCAAUGCAUCUUGAAAUUUAACCUUAUUAAUAAUAUAAUGUGAAGUAAAAUUCGAGAAGUAAUAAAAUUAUUUUGGAAUAAUAUAUUUUUAGUAAAAUGAAUUGAAAAAAAGGUAAAAAGGAAUAAUAGAGCAGAGUACUGUAAAGGAAAGGUGAAAUAAAUUGAAAAAGAAAUUAAUUAAAAGUAAAAAUAAAAGUUUGUACCUUGUGUAUUAGGGAAGAUCAAAAUUAGUUUAUAAUAUGAAAAGUCCCGAAAAAAGAAGAGCUAAUAUAAUCUGGUAGUUUUCGUUUUAAUGAAAUUAUAAAGCUUAUAUUAGUAGUGAAACGCUAGACGAUUCUUUAUAUCUGGUUACCAGUGAAUUAAAUUAAAUUUAGUUGCUUUAAAUUGGUGCAGAAAACUAAAAAGCAAUAAAGAGCAGGAGGGAAAAGCUUCUUGUUCUAACAUAAAGGUAUUAUAAUAUUUCUUAUAAAACAGCAUUGGAUUAGGCUUGAAAACAGCCACAUU